AUUUUCCAAGUAAAUGCUCAGAGCUGUUUCCACAGCGCCGCCACCAGGAACGACUUUGCCGCUCUCAAGAGUGCGUUUGACGACGCUUAAAGAAUCAUGCAUUGAACGCUCCAUUUCAUCUAAAGAGUAUUCAUUGGGGCCUCGCAGAACAAUUGAUGCAGACGAAUAAGCUUUGGUUCCUUUGACAAGAAUACAUUCAUCAUCCGAAAAUUUUUCUUGAACAACCUCUUCAGCCGAGCCCAAGUAGGAACUUUCAAAGGUUUCUUCACCCUCUAAAUUUGACAAUGAACUGAGUAAGGUAGCACCGGAAGCCUUGGCGAUACGUCUCAAAUCUUCCUUUUUGCAUCUACGAACAGCCAUUGCGCCAGCUUCAAUAAUGGAUUUCAAACAGAGAUCAUCAAUGCCCUUUGUGGUAAGAAUAACAUUGGCACCCGCAUUGAGAAUUUUUUUGACGCGUUCCAGCGUAAUCAUAACUUCUCGUUCACGGAUCUUUUCAAGUUGAUCGGGGUCAUCAAUCGUCACAUGCACACCUAACGCCAUUUUAGUUUUUUGCAAAUCCAUAUCCAAAACAGCAAUUUUAGCAUUCUGAACACGAGUUUUCAUAGCUUGACUGGCAAUGGUACAAUUUAAAGCAUAACCUUUAACCAGGACGGACUCUCGAGAACUUUUGCCAUGUGCCUUCAAAAUGUUGACAGCUUUAACAGGGUAACGGGUCUCACCCUUAGAAUUAGAAGUUUUGACGGAAAGCAUUGCGUCAACAGCCAUGGUUGAAAAAAAGUCUGAAUCAUUACCAAUAAUUUUUGAAGACAUACUGGUUUUGGCAACGUUAAUAAGACUCUCUUUUCCCAAACUAUCUACGCUGCAGCUCAAGACAUCUGUCAUAAAUUUUACGGCUUCACGGAUAGCAAGUCGAUAACCGGUUAUAAUAGUAGUGGGGUGAAUUUUGUUUUUGACAAGCUCAUUCGCACGUCUCAACAAUUCAGCCGCAAUAAUGACAACACUAGUAGUUCCAUCACCUACUUCUUUGUCUUGUUGUUGAGCUAAUUCAACCAGCACUUUACCAGCAGGAUGUUCAACAUCCAAUAAUGAUAAAAUGGUAGCACCAUCGUU
Molecule: non-coding RNA, 1110 nt
Organism: Schizosaccharomyces pombe (fission yeast)
Lineage: Eukaryota; Fungi; Ascomycota; Schizosaccharomycetes; Schizosaccharomycetales; Schizosaccharomycetaceae
Source: the annotation of a GenBank genome assembly